Non-coding RNA from Cricetulus griseus (Chinese hamster), 6089 nucleotides. Lineage: Eukaryota; Metazoa; Chordata; Mammalia; Rodentia; Cricetidae. The record is from RefSeq and is a predicted model, not a curated record.
AGAUAGCGCACGCGGCGACGGCGGCCCACCCCUCCCACCCUGUGGCGCGUGCCCGUGGAGGUAGAUGGCGACGAGCUAAUUAGUCGCGAUGCCCCACACGGGGUUCGGAUCUCCUCACAAGCAUUUACACAGCUAGCAUGAAUAGAAGACGCAGUCGGCACUAAUCAGGCGAGGCCACAGCCGAGGAGAAGAGCCAUGGCGGUGUUGGAUGGAGAUGGAGCACGCGGAGUCCUCCUAGGUGGGAGAGGCGGUAGCCAUGUGGGGCUCUAGAAUAAAGGGAAAAAAAAAUACUUUACUGAACAUGAACUUUUUGGAGAAUCGUUUCAAAACUCACAAGUGUCCCGCCCCACUCCCUGGCCCCCAGGCUUUGACAUGGUAGGCAGCACCGGCUAAGUGAAAGGGCAGUUUUGAGCCACCUUCCUCGGGUGCGGGGGGUCUGCCACUGGGGUCUACUUGGAUGCAAUGAAUUCAUUCAUUCAAUAACUGGCCCACAACCACCUUGUGCCCAGGUGAGUGGACAGAGCCAACGGUCAGGCUAAGACAUGGCACCUUCCCCGAUGGGACAAGGUGCCAAUAAACCCAGAACUGCCGGGUGAUCACAAAACUCUCUUCCAACGUUCUUUCCUUUCACUUUUGAACACAGCUCGCAAAACUUGGGACGCUGGGGAGAAGGAAACAGAAACUCUACUAAGAAUGCAACACACCCCAGGGUCCUCAAAGGGCAAGGGGUGUUUAAUACUUCAGUGGCCUCGAAUAAAUUAUUGUGGGCAGCCCUAUCUUUGAAAAUGGGGGAACACUGUGGACCACUCAACAGAAUUUUCAGGUCCUUCUUCCUGAAGGUUUGCCCAACUCAAACUCAGAAAGGGUGUGACGGAAAGCUGCAACACGCUGUUUUUCUUGGUCCCUGCUGGUACAACUCUACUUCCAUUCUGUGCUCCGUUUUUAUUAUUUUUUUUCCCUUAACGGAUUUGAAAGAACAACAGAAAGCGACUCAAAGCAACCAAGGAUCUCUUGGAAUUACGAACAGGAAGCUAAACCUAACAAAUAGGCCCUCACUUGCUGCCUUGCUGCCCAGUCUCCGACUUUAUCUCCUCAAAAGUUAUUUCUUAUCCACAGCUGAUUAAGGCCUCUCAUCCACACAAACGUACACUUCAAAAAAUAAAAAAUAAAAAGUACAAGAAACUCAAAGGAACUACUGUGCCAGGUAUGAAAAAGAUUUAACUGCUGCCCUUGUGCUCCAGGGAAACUCUGAGUUCACAAGCAGUCCUGUAAGUGGCAGCAUGAAGACAGGGACUACCUUUUACCUCUUCAACAAAAACUUCUUGAUUGAAUUUGAUUCAUCUGUCAUUUGUGAAACUAAAGACUUAGAAGAGAGAGGACCUGGCCAGAAAUUUCUGUUCCGCUCCAGUUGUGCAAAAGGCUCUUCCUUCCUGCUUCCAGUGUGCAGAGGCACAGACACAUUGUAUUUAAAAGAAGAGCUAGAGGAGGAAGCCUAUCAGCAUGGAGCACCGGGGCUGGCCUUAGUUGGGAAGGAAGGGGUAAGUUCCUAGCAGAGAAGCCUGUGGCUCCUGCCUGGGAAGCCCAUGUGUCCUUCCUCAGCUGCUGUGGAGCAAACAGGACAGUGGCAUCAGGGUAAGUGCAAAGGUACUGUUCUUGGAAACAAGGAACCACAGUGUCUAAAAUGUCCUCUCCUCCAGGGAGGCUUCCUGGAUUUCUCCUAGAAGCCUAUGUUUGUAUCUCCUUCCUAGCCCUCAGCUGGGUGGGCAAUGAUGAAUUUCUGAACUCUGCUACUACACAAAGUAGCUCCCAGUAUGGGGACCCAGAAGCCAUUUGUUAAAGAACAAAAGAUGGCCUAAGAUGUUUUUCCUACACCAUCUGAAUUUUGGUAAGGACACAUUCAAAAGUGCUUGUGUGUGGUGCCUAGGUUACUGGCAAACCUCUUCAACUUUAAACUUGUCUUAAGUGAAUAAAUUCUAAAAUGAGAAAGAAUCUGCCCCCCUCCUCCCCCAUUUCUUCCAAAGGAGGAAAAAUGGGAUCCAAAGGGACAAAAAGUUGUGCCCAGGGUCUCAGAACUGGCUCCUGGCAGAACAGGGCUCUUUCUACACUGUUAAUCAAUAGAUCAAAGCCCCCAGACACUGCCUGGUUCACUCCAUUGUAGUUUAUCUUUCUGACCUGCCUAAGGUCUUCAAAGGACCCCAAACAGAGGUAUUUGUCCCUAGAUAUCAGUUGUUAAAUUGAAAACCUUAAAAAAAACAUAUAUUCCUAGGCCUGGGGCGGGACUGCAUUCCUGGGAAGGGAGAUAAAGGGAGGGGGCCCCACAGUGCCGCCUGAGGCAGGCGCAGGCGCACAGAGUUUUAUGCAGCCAGGCUCUCAAUUGUAAAAGCCGAGCGCCAUCUGCCAGCCAGUUUUGAACAGCUUUGCUUUGUUAAUUUUUUUCUACUCUGCAGCCUUAAGUAGUGGGUGUUCCUUUCUUUCUUUUAAAAUGUAUGCGUAUUUUUAUAAAUUCUGGGUUAGAAAUGGCUCCCCUACACACAAAAAAGAUCCUACUUUAUAAAAAAAAUUCUGAGUAUAGAAAGAAAAAUAAAGUAGGAAAAGGAGAGGCUGGGAAGAGGGUAAACAGGUAAGAUUCCUUGAGGGUGUUUCUUUCUUUCCCUGGAUUCUGAGCUCUGUGAACUUUGGGUGCAAAUGAGAUGGGCUUCCUUCCUCCUCCUCCACCCCCUCCUACCCCACUGAGAGCUUAACCUGUGAUCUCCAGAGUGAAGGUGUUUGAAACUUCCUGUCACCUGAAUGUUGGGGUGAGUGUUGGCUACAACAGAUUUAAUUUGCCUGCUGAGUAAGUGUCUCCUCUGUGCCCCAUGUUCCCUAAUGUUCCUGUCCUAGCCCCACCAUGGGAAAUUUCUGGCUCCUCUUAAACAACUCAUCAAAUUUGGUCCCUCUUUGACCAUGGCAGUACUAUGGGCCAACUUGAAGCCUUGUCAAUAUUUCAAGACUCCCAUCAUUAGCUUUUCUACAUCAUUUGGCAAGUGCACGGAAUCCUAAAAUCAAGUGACAGAAAAUCACGGUCCCAGGAAACCCCUGAUGCCUAAGCCGGUGCUCUCUCCAUCAUCUUAGGACCCCCUUUAAAAGUUGGAGCAGUUCUGCCCUCCGUUCCCCCCUUUUAACAGAGUCCCUCGUAAGUGUCCGUCUUAAAUCCGCACUUGCAUAUCUAUUGGGCAAAACAAAAUGAUCUGUGCUUUCCUUCUAAUGGCUAAAAGGAAAGAAACUGAAGUCACGUGACUUCUACAGUAUAAAUAGCCCAAAGCUUUUUGGCUAUCCAACUUUAAAAAUUUCCCCCUAACGUCUGGCAUUGGAUAUUGGGUUCUGCCCUGAGUCUUCUAAGCAUUUCCUUGGAAAGAUGUUGUACUUGGUCCCAGGCAAAGUCUCAAAAUCAACAUUGUGAGGUUUUUUUCUCCAAGUUACUUCUAGGAUUGUUCAGUGACUUUUCCUUGUUAGGGGUCACUUGGGUUAGCAGAACCUGGAACUAAAUUUAGGCUGGUCUGCAGGAAGGUCCCACCUUGCAUGGCCAGCAUUUAACUGCUCAAACCACCAAUCAUUUUUUUUACUGCUCCCCUUCAUCAUUACCCUAAUAGGUAAUUUCAUUAUGAAAAAUCUCAAGUUCUUAAAGAGGGGAAAAGGAUGGGAGAAGUCUUCAUUUUUAAAAAGUUAGAAACUGGGGGUACAAUUCAGGGACAGCAGAGUAUAAAACCCUGGAUUCAAUCCCCAACAGCCAAAGAGAGAGAGGUAAGGUGCAAGCUGGUGGGUUGGGCCAAAUGAAGUGACAAGCAACCCUCAUUCCAAUGCGUAGAUGUGGGGGUAUAGAUGCUGCUUUGAGAUGCAGAGGUAUCAACGGUUUUAUCAAAGACCAAGUACAAUAUUUUUGACCAGGAAAUGUCUUUGGUUGGUUACUUCUAUUGCCAUCAUUGUUUUCUUCCCCAGUGUAAUUACUUUACUCUUCCUACUACCACUCAAAGGUGACAGGUCACCUUCCCAUGGAUGAGUAGCCAUCUUUGGAAUCGUAUCCUUAUGGCUGGUGUGCACAGGUUAGUUCAAGGCUCUUCUAGUAUUUGCAAGUACACAGAGGUAGGUGCAGGCGCCUCCCUUAUUGUCUGGUAAUCCCUUCUACGAUAAUAGAAUUUACUAGUGCACACCAGGCAGAGGGACACAGGCUAACAUGAUGUCAAUUAAUGAACCUAAGGAACCCUAUGUGCAGUGGUUAAGGGUUAAUAAUAGUCUAUGCCCCUGACACUGACUGCCCAUUGAUUAGUUAGAUAUUGACUCAUCGGAGUCAUUGUUUAUUUGCCUGAAAUAACUUCUUCUUCUCUUCUAUUUAGGGUCAUCUAGGGGUCACUCAUGGAGAUUUGUGGAAAUUGUUUCUAUCCAAGAAUGCAGGCCACUAAAAUUAGUAUGCGAAUUGCUGACUGGCUCAGCACGCCACAGACCCUUGCCUACAGCGUCCACGUGGUCGCCCCGAGUACAGGAAAGCACACAGAGUGGACCGCUAGGGAAACCCGAGACCUCCCGAAGGCGUACCACCUCAGCUCUACGGUUCGACACGGUUCGACACACUUGGCGCCGAACACUUUGAACUUUGAUCCAAAGUUCGGUCAACUACCCCCACGCAAAAUGGCGAAACAGUUUGAACACACACUGAAUGGUCCAACAGGGUCUCAACCACCAACCCACUCCCCUCCGACCCCAGCGCCAGAGAGGGCUACCGCUGAGGCACCGUGAAGAGCCAUUUCUAGGGCCUGGAGGUGGUGAUCCAGGCCUCUGAGGACAGACAGACGAGAGGACAAGAUGGACAGAGUUCAUUACCCAGGGAUGCUGAACCCUGCACAGGGUGGAAGGCUACGCACGCGUCACGCAUCGUCUACCCACGCAAUUAGCCGCACUGCGUACAGCCCACCCUCACUUAAAGUCUGGGGACUGCGACGCCAUCCCAGGGCCUAGGCGCACAGUCCCGGACCUCUUCAGACAAGUCGGAACCGCCCAACCAGCUGUACUACCUAAAGGCGCUCACCGAGAAGCCGACUCACCCUCUGGCUCUGCAGAGAGUGGCCCCACUGCGCAAGAACUGCUGAAGCCGAAAAGGAUGAACCUUAUGAGGUGAGAAGCUGGGUCCGGAGACCCCAGUCUCACCUCGGGGAGAAAAGAAGGGGAUGCACCUACCUUCCCGACCACAGCGAACUUUCUAAGCCUCCGCGCCUCAGCCCGCGUCUCAUCGUCACUUCUUCCAGCUCACAUUCUACAUGAGAAAAACAGGUGCGUCGAUCAGAACGUCAUGGCUAGGGGGCGGCCAGAGACCACUAGAUCGUGGUAUUGGUCUCUGAAGCCUAAGGAAUUGGAGCACAGCUCUGCCAGCAGCAUAUGGUACACAGAGACAUUGGUCAAGCUGAUUUUAGGGCAUAUUGAGGGAGAAGUUAGGCCUGUGUGGGUGCUGGUAAAUGCCCUUUUGAUGGAAACUGAUGCCUGCUGUCCACAGUGAGGAAACUUGGAAGGUGCCUGCCGGUGGUGACAGAAAGGAGUGUUUGAGUGGCAGAUUUGAGAUAACCCAGCUUUCCUUGUAAACAUCUUUGGAGCCUUCAGCUCUGCGCUACUUUUGAGCCUUUGCCAUUGCCGUGUGCGCCUUGGAGCCUCACAAACUCCUUCCUGACUGGACACCUGCUCUGCUUCAGCCACACCCUUCAGUCCUUAAGGGAAGGUUUGCUAAGCAGGAGAGCCCAGGGGAGCUCUGUCUCGUGAGGACUAGGACUGAACCCAAGCCCACAUGACAGUGUUCUACCACUGGUGGCCCUCUUUUAAUUUUAUUUUGAGACAAGAUCUCACUGAGUUCUCCAUACUGGCCUCAAACUUGGAACGCUCAUGCCUUAGACUCCUGAAGAACUAGUAUUAUAGGCAUGAACCACUGUGCCUAGUCUUGAGGGCUUCUUGGUUAACUGCCUCUGUAAGAAUGGGCUCUGGGGUGCCAAACACCCAGCUUUGUGAGUUGCUAACACCCUGCCUGUCCCAUACAUGGCAUAAUAUCUGCCUAAUAAAUUUGUGUAAAAGGA